GGAUGGAUCACCUCCUUUCUAAGGAAACAAUUAUCAUCUUCAGUUUUGAGAGACUUAAGAAAGUUUUUCAUUAUAACUAACUUACUUGCAAAUUGUAUUUACAAUAUUUUAAUCUUUUUAAUAUUAAGGGCCUAUAGAUCAGUUGGUUAUAGAGUACACACCUAAUAAUUGUGAGGUCGGUGGUUCAAGUUACACAUUUAGGCCCACCAUAACCACAAAUAGGCAAAAUAUUAAAAAAAGCUCUUUGAAAAGUAGAUAAACGAAGGUUAAAAAAUCAAAGGAACUAAGGGCGCACAGUGGAUGCCUUGGCACUAAGAGCCGAUGAAGGACGCAAUUAACGGCGAAACGCCACGGGAAGCUGUAAAUAAGUGAAGAUCCGUGGAUCUCCGAAUGGGAAAACCCAUUACAUUGAAGAUGUAAUAUUCUUCUAAUACGAUUUAUCUUUUUAGAAGAAGGGAAACGCGGCGAACUGAAAUAUCUAAGUAACCGCAGGAAAAGAAAGUAAUAACGAUUCUGGUAGUAGUGACGAGCGAACCCGGAACAGCCUAAUACCAUUUCUAGUUACAAAAUUUUAACAAAGUAGAAGCUUUUGGAAAGAAGCACCAAAGAAGGUGACAGUCCCGUAAACGUAAGUUAAAAUCUAGGGUAUUAAUAAGUACGGCGAGACACGAGAAAUCUUGUCGGAAGAUGGGAGGACCAUCUCCUAAGGCUAAAUACUUCUUAGUGACCGAUAGUGAACUAGUACCGUGAGGGAAAGGCGAA
Molecule: small RNA, 762 nt
Filed under: Clover phyllody phytoplasma
Lineage: Bacteria; Bacillati; Mycoplasmatota; Mollicutes; Acholeplasmatales; Acholeplasmataceae
Description: bacterial LSU rRNA
Rfam family: Bacterial large subunit ribosomal RNA (bases 274-762)
Source: RNAcentral